CAUUACUGCGGUAAAGGAGGCAAGCGUGACACCCAGAAGGGUUGUCCUUAAUCAGGAUCAUCCUCUGCUCCUUCCGUUUUAACUUGCCUUCGGGCGGAUCCAAAAGGAGAACAUCAUCCAUUGAGAAUGCAGGAGCAUCUGGAGUUGGUAGAUUGGUGUCUUCCAGGGGAGACUGUAUGUCAAGGGACUAUCGCAACCAACUAGAGACCUACCAUGGGACUCAUGGACGCCAGGUAUUCCCCCGAAAUAACUUAUCCGCAUGGAACACCUGGAGUUCGCUGGUGUAUGGGAAGGGACUGCGAUCCCUUUAUUACCCCUAUCUCCACGAUGCUGGAUCUUUAUCAUACCUUUUCACUACAGGCCGAUCGGAACGUUCCAUUAACGGGCUACGUUCCGCGAUUUCGACGAC
Molecule: non-coding RNA, 409 nt
Organism: Pelobates cultripes (western spadefoot toad)
Lineage: Eukaryota; Metazoa; Chordata; Amphibia; Anura; Pelobatidae
Source: the annotation of a GenBank genome assembly